Long non-coding RNA from Siniperca chuatsi (mandarin fish), 1784 nucleotides. RefSeq lists it as uncharacterized. The record is from RefSeq and is a predicted model, not a curated record. The transcript has 3 exons. Lineage: Eukaryota; Metazoa; Chordata; Actinopteri; Centrarchiformes; Sinipercidae.
UGGUCAGUAUCUGCUUUCAGGUUGACCAGACAGCUCAAAGGGAAGAGGACAGAAAAUUGUGCAAAUGGGUUUUAAUGACACUGGAUGGACUCAGCGAUUUCAAAACUACUUUACAACGUUCCUAAGGUAAGAUGAUGAUAUUUCAUUUUGGACCAAAGCCUGCAAGUUUGGGUAGACACCUCAAGUGUGCUGCUACAAUACACUAACACUUGAUCACCUCUACUCAUUGCAGCAUAUUUGUACCAAACUUCUUGCAAAAAUCGUUCAUUUAAAGAAUAAGGUUGGUGUUACUCUGUAAUUUUCUUGAUGUCAGCUAAUCAACUUAUUAAGAAAACAGGUUUGAAUGAAACUGGAUGGAGACGUAUUCCCGACUGCUUUCCAACGUUCCUAAGGUAAGAUGAUUUUUAAUUUUGGACCAAAGCCUGCAAGUUUGGGUAGACACCUCAAGUGUGCUGCUACAAUACACUCACACUUGAUCACCUCUACUCAUCGCAGCAUAUUUGUACCAAACCUCUUGCAAAAAAAUGUCUAUUCAAAAAAAUAGGUUUUACUCUGUAUUUUUCUCGCUGUUAACUAAACUAUUAAGACAACAGGUUUUAAUGAAACUGGAUGGAGUCACAGAUUUCCAGCAACUUUCCAACGUUCCUAAGCUAAUCAACUUAUUAAGAAAACAGAUUUGAAUGAAACUGGAUGGAGAUGUAUUCCCGACUGCUUUCCAACGUUCCUAAGGUAAGAUGAUUUUUAAUGUUGGACCAAAGCCUGCAAGUUUGGGUAGACACCUCAAGUGUGCUGCUACAAUACACUCACACUUGAUCACCUCUACUCAUCGCAGCAUAUUUGUGCCAAACUUCUUGCAAAAAUCGUUGAUUUAAAGAAUAAGGUUGGUGUUACUCUGUAAUUUUCUUGAUGUCAGCUAAUCAACUUAUUAAGAAAACAGAUUUGAAUGAAACUGGAUGGAGUCACAGAUUUCCAGCAACUUUCCAACGUUCCUAAGGUAAGAUGAUUUUUAAUUUUGGACCAAAGCCUGCAAGUUUGGGUAGACACCUCAAGUGUGCUGCUACAAUACACUCACACUUGAUCACCUCUACACAUCGCAGCAUAUUUGUGCCAAACGUCUUGCAAAAAUCGUUCAUUUAAAGAAUAAGGUUGGUUUUACUCUGUAAUUUUUUUUAAGUCAGCUAAUCAACUUAUUAAGAAAACAGAUUUGAAUGAAACUGGAUGGAGUCACAGAUUUCCAGCAACUUUCCAACGUUCCUAAGGUAACCUGAUUUUUUUUAAAAAGUUUUGACCAAAGCCUGCAAGUUUGGGUAGACACCUCAAGUGUGCUGCUACAAUACACUCACACUUGAUCACCUCUACUCAUCGCAGCAUAUUUGUGCCAAACUUCUUGCAAAAAAAUGUCUAUUCAAAAAAAUAGGUUUUAUUCUGUAUUUUUCUCGCUGUUAACUAAACUAUUAAGACAACAGGUUUUAAUGAAACUGGAUGGAGUCACAGAUUUCCAGCAACUUUCCAACGUUCCUAAGGUAAGCUGAUUUUUUUAAAGUUUUGACCAAAGCCUGCAAGUUUGGCUAGACACCUCAAGUGUGCUGCUACAAUACACUCACAUUUCAUCACUUCUACUCAUCGCAGCAUAUUUGUGGCAAACUUCUUGCAAAAAUCGUUCAUUUAAAGAAUAAGGUUGGUUUUACUCUGUAAUUUUCUUGAUGUCAGCUAAUCAACUUAUUAAGAAAACAGAUUUGAAUGAAACUGGAUGGAGUCACAGAUUUCCAGCAACUUUCCAACGU